AAAAGGUGUUAAGUUGCUUCUUUUCUUGAGUUUACAAGGGUUUCACGGUGAUUAGGCCACUUUGGAUGGAAAUUUUUGGAAGUACAUGUACUUGAACUGGGGACAUACUUGGAAAUCACGGUUUUGGAAGAAAAUGGUCAAGCUAGUAUAUAUGUCAUGUUGUUAAAUUCUUU
Molecule: long non-coding RNA, 173 nt
Organism: Coffea arabica (coffee)
Lineage: Eukaryota; Viridiplantae; Streptophyta; Magnoliopsida; Gentianales; Rubiaceae
Source: RefSeq, a predicted model, not a curated record